RNAcentral lists this ribosomal RNA (430 nucleotides) under uncultured archaeon. RNAcentral describes it as "bacterial SSU rRNA". It matches the Rfam family "Archaeal small subunit ribosomal RNA", at positions 474 to 903 of the family's 1478-position model. The record is from RNAcentral.
UACCAGCUCUCCGAGUGGUAGGGAUGAUUAUUGGGCUUAAAGCGUCCGUAGCCGGCUUAGCAAGUCUCCUGUUAAAUUCAGCGACCUAAUCGUUGAGCCGCGGGAGAUACUACUAGGCUAGGAGGCGGGAGAGGUCGACGGUACUUCUGGGGUAGGGGUGAAAUCCUAUAAUCCCGGGAGGACCACCAGUGGCGAAGGCUGUCGACUAGAACGCGCUCGACGGUGAGGGACGAAAGCUGGGGGAGCGAACCGGAUUAGAUACCCGGGUAGUCCCAGCUGUAAACGAUGCGGGCUAGGUGUUGGGGGUGGCUACGUGCCACUUUGGUGCCGCAGGGAAGCCAUUAAGCCCGCCGCCUGGGGAGUACGGCCGCAAGGCUGAAACUUAAAGGAAUUGGCGGGGGAGCACCACAAGGCGUGAAGCUUGCGGUUC